AGCAGCCGCGGUAAUUCCAGCUCCAAUAGCGUAUAUUAAAGUUGUUGCAGUUAAAAAGCUCGUAGUUGAAUUUCGGGAUCAAUACGUCGGUCGUGCUUCGGUACGUACUGGCGUAAUUGAUUUCUCCCUUCUGACGAACCAUGAUGUCAUUAACUUGGUGUCAUGGGAAAUCAGGACUGUUACUUUGAAAAAAUUAGAGUGUUUAAAGCAAGCUAACGCUUGAAUACAUUAGCAUGGAAUAAUGAAAUAGGACGUUCGAUCCUAUUUUUGUUGGUUUCUAGGAUUGACGUAAUGAUUAAUAGGGAUAGUUGGGGGCAUUAGUAUUCAAUUGUCAGAGGUGAAAUUCUUGGAUUUAUUGAAGACUAACUACUGCGAAAGCAUUUGCCAAGGAUGUUUUCAUUAAUCAAGAACGAAAGUUAGGGGAUCGAAGACGAUCAGAUACCGCCGUAGUCUUAACCAUAAACUAUGCCGACUAGGGAUCGGAUGAUGUUAAUUUUUAAUGUACUCAUUCGGC
Molecule: ribosomal RNA, 514 nt
Filed under: uncultured Glomus
Lineage: Eukaryota; Fungi; Glomeromycota; Glomeromycetes; Glomerales; Glomeraceae
Description: SSU rRNA
Rfam family: Eukaryotic small subunit ribosomal RNA
Source: RNAcentral